CCGCGGGUCGAGCCUCCGCUGGAACUGCGCCUGCGUGGAACCAGCUUGCUCCUUACCUCCUGGGUGCUCAGCGCCCCUUCCCUGUAUGGCUGAAGUGGGAGAAUCUUCCUAUCCUUGCUAACACCGCCUUCUUCAAAGCAAAGAGAGAGCCGGUGGGGCUCAGAGCCCUCGGCAGGCGGAGAUCCAGCCAGAACAUCACGACGUUUGGUUUCCACAGGAUGUGUUUUUACAGUUUCCUCUACUGGUGACAAGUGAUGCUGAUUUUCCAGUUAUGCUAGUUGACAUUCUGCGGAAGCUACAUUAUUUAGAAGUCGGCUGACUGAGAAAAAAAGCAUGAAUUAAAUAACAAUACGAGUAAACAGAAGAUGUGACAGGAGCCAGAGAGACGUGUCAAUGACAGAAGUUUGGAAAUCGCUGCUCUGCGGCAGGAUGCUUGUUGCCCUCUGGGUCAGGGGCUCCUCGUGUUAUGUUUUCUUGGGCUUCUCUUGCCUUGGACCUGGGCCCAGGGGGUUUCGGAAGCCGGAAAUAAAUAUUUCUGUAUCAAA
Ailuropoda melanoleuca (giant panda) is the source of this 545-nucleotide long non-coding RNA. RefSeq lists it as uncharacterized. NCBI's taxonomy places the organism in Eukaryota, Metazoa, Chordata, Mammalia, Carnivora, Ursidae. The transcript is spliced from 2 exons. The record is from RefSeq and is a predicted model, not a curated record.